UUGGAGGGCAAGUCUGGUGCCAGCAGCCGCGGUAAUUCCAGCUCCAAUAGCGUAUAUUAAAGUUGCUGCAGUUAAAAAGCUCGUAGUUGAAUUUCGGGACCAUCAUGUCGGUCGUGCCUCGGUACGUACUGGUAUUGUUGGUUUCUCCCUUCUGACGAACCAUGAUGUCAUUUAUUUGGUGUUGUGGGGAAUCAGGACUGUUACUUUGAAAAAAUUAGAGUGUUUAAAGCAGGCUCACGCUUGAAUACAUUGGCAUGGAAUAAUGGAAUAGGACGUUUGAUUCUAUUUUGUUGGUUUCUAGGAUCGACGUAAUGAUUAAUAGGGAUAGUUGGGGGCAUUAGUAUUCAAUUGUCAGAGGUGAAAUUCUUGGAUUUAUUGAAGACUAACUACUGCGAAAGCAUUUGCCAAGGAUGUUUUCACUAAUCAAGAACGAAAGUUAGGGGAUCGAAGACGAUCAGAUACCGUCGUAGUUUUAACCAUAAACUAUGCCGACUAGGGAUCGGAUGAUGUUAAUUUUUUAAUGACUCAUUCGGCGCCUUACGGGAAACCAAAGUGUUUGGGUUC
This 564-nucleotide ribosomal RNA is filed under the name uncultured Glomeromycotina. RNAcentral's name for it is "SSU rRNA". It matches the Rfam family "Eukaryotic small subunit ribosomal RNA", at positions 548 to 1114 of the family's 1831-position model. The record is from RNAcentral. Lineage: Eukaryota; Fungi; Glomeromycota.